CCCCAGAGUCCAUAAAGAUCACUUGGAGGUGAGAAGCCUUGAAAUAGGGCUGCAUGCACUGUUUCUUUUGGAUUUUUCUCCUUGAUGUGGGUGUUGGCUGGAGGUUUCUUGUUGGAGAGAAGGAAAGAUGCAUUCUGAUGUGCAGAGGUAUCCACAGGCCUUGAUCAUAUUUCAGUUACAUUGGUAAAAGCAUGAAUUAAAAAUCAAGAAGCCCUGAAUGGCACACAGAUGUGAUAGGACCCAACCCAGCUGCUUGUCUAAGCUCUGUGAUACUGACAGGAAUGGACCUAGAACUCCUGACUCAAAGUUGAGCAUCCAACUGCAGCAACUUAGACUCCAGAAGCCAAAUUAUUGGAAAUAUGCUGUCUCUUGUUGAAAUACUACAGGUGUUAUUUUGACUGGAAUUUGUUCAGUUGCCAGGCUUAGCCCCGGACUGAUGGUAUCCAGAAACUGGUGCCAAGGGCUCACAUCCCACUGGCCUCUCUCCAUGUCUUCAUCCCUCUUGUCCUAACAACCAAGCACUCUGCUGUUUAAUGCUGAACUUUUCAUAAUUAAACUUGUCAGAAUUUUCUAAUUAAAUAACAACUCAGCAUU
Long non-coding RNA from Tympanuchus pallidicinctus (lesser prairie-chicken), 594 nucleotides. RefSeq lists it as uncharacterized. Lineage: Eukaryota; Metazoa; Chordata; Aves; Galliformes; Phasianidae. The record is from RefSeq and is a predicted model, not a curated record. The transcript has 3 exons.